RNAcentral lists this small nuclear RNA (100 nucleotides) under Propithecus coquereli (Coquerel's sifaka). Lineage: Eukaryota; Metazoa; Chordata; Mammalia; Primates; Indriidae. The record is from RNAcentral.
GUGCUUACUUCAGCACAUACAGUAAAACUGGACAAUAGAGAGAUUAUUAGCACGGCCCCUACACAAGGAUGACACACAAAUUUAUGUGUUCCUUAUUUUU